This is a long non-coding RNA of Parus major (Great Tit), 353 nucleotides long. RefSeq lists it as uncharacterized. The record is from RefSeq and is a predicted model, not a curated record. Lineage: Eukaryota; Metazoa; Chordata; Aves; Passeriformes; Paridae. The transcript has 3 exons.
ACUACACAGAAUUUGAGCUUGCAUCAGUUCAUAGUUGUUGUAUAAGCCUUGUUACAAAGUUGUUAAAAUGUGCCCAAAGGAUAGAAAAAUAACCAAGAUGAUUUAUUCAGAUCUUAUUUCAUGAUCAAGCAUGGGUAAACAGGUAUGACCUGAUUGCUGUGCUGGACAACCAUUCUCCGACAGAGAAGGAUCCCUGUCAUUCCUGUGCUGUGGACCCUGAACUGAACACACCACUCCAGGUGGGAUCUCACCAGACCUCCCUCAAUCUGCUGGCCACACUGCUUUAGAUGCAGCCCAGGACAUGGCUGGCUUUCUCAACUGCAAGUGCACAUUACUGGCUCAUAUCCAAAAAA